This 468-nucleotide ribosomal RNA is filed under the name uncultured bacterium. Its description in RNAcentral is "partial 16S ribosomal RNA". It matches the Rfam family "Bacterial small subunit ribosomal RNA", at positions 28 to 507 of the family's 1533-position model. The record is from RNAcentral.
GACGAACGCUGGCGGCGUGCUUAACACAUGCAAGUCGAACGGUGAAGCUCCAGCUUGCUGGAGUGGAUCAGUGGCGAACGGGUGAGUAACACGUGAGCAACCUGCCCCUGACUCUGGAAUAAGCGCUGGAAACGGCGUCUAAUACUGGAUACGAGAAGGGUCCGCAUGGGCACUUUCUGGACAGUUUUUCGGUUGGGGAUGGGCUCGCGGCCUAUCAGCUUGUUGGUGAGGUAAUGGCUCACCCAGGCGACGACGGGUAGCCGGCCUGAGAGGGCGACCGGCGACACGGGGACUGAGACACGGCCGAGAGGGCUACGGGUGGCUGUAGGUGGGAAUAUGGCACAAUGGGCGAAAGCCGGAUGCAGCGACGCCGCGUGAGGGAUGACGGCCUUCGGGUUGGAAACCUCGUUCAGUAGUGAAGAAGCGAAAGUGACGGGAUCUGCAGAAGAAGCACCGGCUAACUACGUG